GCAGUCACUCCCUGGGACGAGGGAGUUUGGGCUGGUAAACCCAGAGAGGGGGUGAGCCAGAAGAUGUGGAAAGGAGUCCAGGGAAAGAGCAAUGGGGUCUGAAAGCAGACCCCAGUUACUAGACAGAGACACUGCUGUAGUAGUUGGGGAUCAGAAAGUGGUGGGACGCCCAGCCACCUCCGCUUUCCCUGGCCCUGAGUGACAGAAGUCGGUAGAGAGGUAUCCAAAAACAAAGACUCCUUGACACCAGAAAAUUCCACUACUUAGUGAUGAUCCUCCCAUGUCCAGGCCAGAAGGGAACAUUAUACUCAAAUAGCCUCAUCUCCGAUAUAACACAAGCCAUAGAAUUUGACCAACUGAUUUCUGCAUCAGGCCCAUAAUAGAUGUUUGAACUAGAGCAUAUCUUCUAGAAAGACUUCUCAGUCUUGAUUUAAAGACUUCAAGUGAUGGAGAAGCCAACACAUACCCAGAGUGACAGUUGCACUCCUAAAUUUUGGAUUAUGGAAUAACAGCAACAUACAAAUUCAGACCUGUGGGGUGACAGUGCCAUCAGCUGUUCUGAAUCUAUAUAGCCAAUAUGCAUUCCAGUGGUUAACUUGAGCCACUUUAGUACG
Molecule: long non-coding RNA, 614 nt
Organism: Chelonia mydas (Green sea turtle)
Lineage: Eukaryota; Metazoa; Chordata; Testudines; Cheloniidae
Exons: 3
Source: RefSeq, a predicted model, not a curated record